This is a microRNA precursor of Gorilla gorilla gorilla (western lowland gorilla), 92 nucleotides long. The record is from Ensembl. Lineage: Eukaryota; Metazoa; Chordata; Mammalia; Primates; Hominidae.
GCUGGGAUGUGUCAGGUAGGCAGUGUAUUGCUAGCGGCUGUUAAUAAUUUUAACAGUUGCUAGUUGCAUUCCUCUCUGUUGCAUUCAGAAGC